This 394-nucleotide ribosomal RNA is filed under the name uncultured bacterium. Its description in RNAcentral is "partial 16S ribosomal RNA". It matches the Rfam family "Bacterial small subunit ribosomal RNA", at positions 523 to 918 of the family's 1533-position model. The record is from RNAcentral.
AUACGUAGGGAGCGAGCGUUGUUCGGAAUUACUGGGCGUAAAGGGCGCGUAGGCGGCGCUUCAAGUCGUCUGUCAAAUGGGAGGGCUUAACCCUUUUUCGCAGACGAAACUGGAGAGCUUGAGAAGCAGAGAGGCAAACAGAAUUCCUGGUGUAGCGGUGAAAUGCGUAGAUAUCAGGAAGAAUACCAGUGGCGAAGGCGGUUUGCUGGCUGCAUACUGACGCUGAAGCGCGAAAGCCAGGGGAGCAAACGGGAUUAGAUACCCCGGUAGUCCUGGCAGUAAACGAUGUAUGCUGGGUGUGAGACUAGCGAUAGUUUCGUGCCGAAGUUAACGCGAUAAGCAUACCGCCUGGGGAGUACGGUCGCAAGAUUGAAACUCAAAUGAAUUGACGGGG